Molecule: ribosomal RNA, 390 nt
Filed under: uncultured bacterium
Lineage: Bacteria
Description: bacterial SSU rRNA
Rfam family: Bacterial small subunit ribosomal RNA
Source: RNAcentral
UGGGGAAUAUUGGACAAUGGGCGCAAGCCUGAUCCAGCCAUGCCGCGUGAGUGACGAAGGCCUUAGGGUUGUAAAGCUCUUUUGGCGGGGAAGAUAAUGACGGUAACCGCAGAAUAAGCUCCGGCUAACUUCGUGCCAGCAGCCGCGGUACUACGAAGGGAGCUAGCGUUGUUCGGAAUCACUGGGCGUAACGCGCACGUAGGCGGACUUUCAAGUCAGGGGUGAAAUCCCGGGGCUCAACCUCGGAACUGCCUUUGAUACUGUUGGUAUCGAGUCCGGAAGAGGUGAGUGGAAUUCCUAGUGCAGAGGUGAAAUUGGUAGAUAUUAGGAUGAACACCGGUGGCGAAGGCGGCUCACUGGUCCGGUACUGACGCUGAGGUGCGAAAGCGU